UAAAAUUUCUUCAGCAUACUUUCUCUCCAAAAAAGACAUCAUUAUUUUUAUUUUUUUAGUUAUGGAAAAAAAAUUUUUUUAAGUUCCGGGAUACAUGUGCAGAAUGUGCAGGUUUGUUACAUAAGUAUAUGCGUGCCAUCGUGGAGACAUCAUUUAUUUUUUAAGCACAAAAAUAAUUUUGGGUUAUAAUUCUUAGCAUACAGAGACACAGAUGCCUACAUUCUAAUGACUAAUAUAAAACCUUUUAUUUGGCAAUUUGGAAAUAAACACUUUUUAGAUAUUAACUUAUGAAAUAAGGUUACAGAAAAUUAUUCAUAGAAAAUAUUACACUAUAGAUAGAUUACUCAAAUCACUCCAAUGAAGUAAUUUAAUUGAGGUGUUCAUAAAGCAGCUCAGAGUCUGGGCACAAAAUAGAGAUCCGAGUCUUCAUUCCCCUAUAAUCCUGCGUGAGAUACUCAAUCUCUGCCUCUUCCUCAAAAGACCAUUAAGAACUAAACAAAAUAGUGUGGAAAGUGCUUGGCAAGGUACUUAUUAAGCAUUUAUGAAUGCUUUAUUAGUACCAAAUGCUUUUGUCAUCACAGAGUUUAAUUGUACCAAGAGAAAAAACAAAAAUUCUCCAACAGAGUGAUGACUGCUUUAAAUAGGAGAGUUGAUUCAUUAGUUUACAAAUACUAGUUAUCAAGUUUCAAACUUCAGACUAAACUUGCAUUGUUAUACUUUUGGGGCAAUAUUUACAGAGCUGUACCCAUGACAGAUAACACAGACAACGAAUAAUCUACCUUCAGCAAGGAAGGUCAGAAAACCCAGACUCAAGAGAGGCACCUGUGCUUCCCAAUGGCUCAUUUCCUCCUUGAACUGCAGCCUUCUUCCACCUAAGCCGGAGUAGACCCUGCCUUCAGUCCACCUCAGUAACCUCCAUGGACUUGGAGCACAGGCACUGCACUGACACAAACCUAGAAGCCCAGCGUCCCAAAGCCCAAGUUUGCAUUCAUCCCUCACCAAGUAUCAACCAUUCUCCCAAAGGCAGGUAAAUAUCCCAGACUUAAGCAUGAGAUCCUUAGGCCAAAAUGAACUGGGAAACAUUAAAAAAAAAAAUCUUAUUAAAGCAUGCCAUAAAUUCCACUUUUUACCUCACUGAUUAAAAUAAUCAAGAAAGAUAAAACAUACAUAGGUGUUAAUAUUAGGUUGGUGAAAAAGUAAUUGCAUUUUUUGCCAUAAAAGCAGUGGCAAAACUGCUAUUACUUUGCACCAGCCUAUAUUACUUUCAUUUUUUUUUGCACAUAAAGGGUUUAUUUUAAAUGUUUUAAGGAUAAGAUAGAG
This 1320-nucleotide long non-coding RNA is filed under the name Homo sapiens (human). RNAcentral describes it as "HSALNT0151648". Lineage: Eukaryota; Metazoa; Chordata; Mammalia; Primates; Hominidae. The record is from RNAcentral.